Molecule: ribosomal RNA, 87 nt
Filed under: Escherichia coli
Lineage: Bacteria; Pseudomonadati; Pseudomonadota; Gammaproteobacteria; Enterobacterales; Enterobacteriaceae
Also listed under: 4 other names
Source: RNAcentral
UGACCCCAUGCCGAACUCAGAAGUGAAACGCCGUAGCGCCGAUGGUAGUGUGGGGGCUCCCCAUGCGAGAGUAGGGAACUGCCAGAC